Molecule: ribosomal RNA, 253 nt
Filed under: uncultured bacterium
Lineage: Bacteria
Description: partial 16S ribosomal RNA
Rfam family: Bacterial small subunit ribosomal RNA
Source: RNAcentral
UACGAAGGGGGCUAGCGUUGCUCGGAAUCACUGGGCGUAAAGGGCGCGUAGGCGGACAUUUAAGUCAGGGGUGAAAUCCCAAGGCUCAACCUUGGAAUUGCCUUUGAUACUGGGUGUCUUGAGACCGGAAGAGGUUAGUGGAACUGCGAGUGUAGAGGUGAAAUUCGUAGAUAUUCGCAAGAACACCAGUGGCGAAGGCGGCUAACUGGUCCGGUUCUGACGCUGAGGCGCGAAAGCGUGGGCAGCAAACAGG